GAUGAACGCUGGCGGCAGGCUUAACACAUGCAAGUCGAGCGGGCGAGGUUGCUUCGGUAACUGAGCUAGCGGCGGACGGGUGAGUAAUGCUUAGGAAUCUGCCUAUUAGUGGGGGACAACAUUCCGAAAGGAAUGCUAAUACCGCAUACGCCCUACGGGGGAAAGCAGGGGAUCUUCGGACCUUGCGCUAAUAGAUGAGCCUAAGUCAGAUUAGCUAGUUGGUGGGGUAAAGGCCUACCAAGGCGACGAUCUGUAGCGGGUCUGAGAGGAUGAUCCGCCACACUGGGACUGAGACACGGCCCAGACUCCUACGGGAGGCAGCAGUGGGGAAUAUUGGACAAUGGGCGCAAGCCUGAUCCAGCCAUGCCGCGUGUGUGAAGAAGGCCUUUUGGUUGUAAAGCACUUUAAGCGGGGAGGAGGCUACUUGGAUUAAUACUCUAGGAUAGUGGACGUUACUCGCAGAAUAAGCACCGGCUAACUCUGUGCCAGCCGCCGCAGUAA
This 501-nucleotide ribosomal RNA is filed under the name uncultured bacterium. Its description in RNAcentral is "partial 16S ribosomal RNA". It matches the Rfam family "Bacterial small subunit ribosomal RNA", at positions 28 to 523 of the family's 1533-position model. The record is from RNAcentral.